AGAGUUUGAUCCUGGCUCAGAGUGAACGCUGGCGGCGUGCCUAACACAUGCAAGUCGAACGAGAACGGAUAUAAGUUUACUUAUAUUGUCAGCUAAGUGGCGCACGGGUGAGUAAUAUAUAGUUAAUCUGCCCUGAAGAAGAGAAUAAUUGUUGGAAACGACUUGUAAUGCUCUAUAUGCCUUUAUCACAUAAGUGAGCAAGGGAAAUAUUUAUAGCUUCGGGAUGAGACUGUACGGUAUCAGCUAGUUGGUGAGGUAAUGGCUCACCAAGGCUAUGACAUCUAACUGGUUUGAGAGGAUGAUCAGUCACACUGGAACUGAGACACGGUCCAGACUCCUACGGGAGGCAGCAGUGGGGAAUAUUGCACAAUGGAGGAAACUCUGAUGCAGCAACGCCGCGUGGAGGAUGACACAUUUCGGUGCGUAAACUCCUUUUAUUAGGGAAGAUAAUGACGGUACCUAACGAAUAAGCACCGGCUAACUCCGUGCCAGCAGCCGCGGUAAUACGGGGGGUGCAAGCGUUACUCGGAAUCACUGGGCGUAAAGAGCAUGUAGGCUGAUUAGUAAGUUGGAAGUGAAAUCCUAUGGCUCAA
This 593-nucleotide ribosomal RNA is filed under the name uncultured bacterium. Its description in RNAcentral is "bacterial SSU rRNA". It matches the Rfam family "Bacterial small subunit ribosomal RNA", at positions 8 to 612 of the family's 1533-position model. The record is from RNAcentral.